GACGAACGCUGGCGGCGUGCCUAAUACAUGCAAGUAGGACGCAGUUGCGAACGGGUGAGUAACGCGUAGGUAACUACCUAUUAGAGGGGGAUAACUAUUGGAAACGAUAGCUAAUACCGCAUACUAGUAGAUGGACCUGCGUUGUAUUAGCUAGUAGGUAGGGUAAUGGCCUACCUAGGCAACGAUACAUAGCCGGCCUGGGAGGGUGAGGGGCCAAACUGGGGCUGGGAAACGGCCCAGGCUCCAUCGGGGAGGAGGAGUAGGGAAUCUUCGGCAAUGGGGGGAACCCUGACAGAGCAACGCCGCGUGAGUGAAGGAGGUUUUCGGAUCGUAAAGCUAUGUUGUUAAGGAAGCGGUACUUAACGAAAAAGGAACGGCUAACUACGUGCCAGCAGCCGCGGUAAUAC
RNAcentral lists this ribosomal RNA (407 nucleotides) under uncultured bacterium. RNAcentral describes it as "partial 16S ribosomal RNA". It matches the Rfam family "Bacterial small subunit ribosomal RNA", at positions 28 to 526 of the family's 1533-position model. The record is from RNAcentral.